This 78-nucleotide small nuclear RNA is filed under the name Homo sapiens (human). Its description in RNAcentral is "partial ncRNA". The record is from RNAcentral. Lineage: Eukaryota; Metazoa; Chordata; Mammalia; Primates; Hominidae.
AGAGAAUCACUUGAACCAGGAGAUGGAGGUUGCAGUGAGCUGAGAUCACCUCAUUGCACUCCCGCCUGGGCAACAAGA